GAUGAACGCUAGCGAUAGGCUUAACACAUGCAAGUCGAGGGGCAGCAUGAUCUUAGCUUGCUAAGGUUGAUGGCGACCGGCGCACGGGUGCGUAACGCGUAUGCAACUUGCCUUACAGAGGGGGAUAACCCGUUGAAAGACGGACUAAAACCGCAUACACUUGUAUUAUUGCAUGAUAUUACAAGGAAAUAUUUAUAGCUGUAAGAUAGGCAUGCGUCCCAUUAGCUGGUUGGUGGGGUAACGGCUCACCAAGGCGACGAUGGGUAGGGGAACUGAGAGGUUUAUCCCCCACACUGGUACUGAGACACGGACCAGACUCCUACGGGAGGCAGCAGUGAGGAAUAUUGGUCAAUGGGCGAGAGCCUGAACCAGCCAAGUCGCGUGAAGGAAGACAGUCCUAAGGAUUGUAAACUUCUUUUAUACGGGAAUAACGGGCGAUACGAGUAUUGCAUUGAAUGUACCGUAAGAAUAAGCAUCGGCUAA
This 483-nucleotide ribosomal RNA is filed under the name Porphyromonas gingivalis. Its description in RNAcentral is "bacterial SSU rRNA". It matches the Rfam family "Bacterial small subunit ribosomal RNA", at positions 28 to 500 of the family's 1533-position model. The record is from RNAcentral. Lineage: Bacteria; Pseudomonadati; Bacteroidota; Bacteroidia; Bacteroidales; Porphyromonadaceae.